Molecule: long non-coding RNA, 272 nt
Organism: Epinephelus moara (kelp grouper)
Lineage: Eukaryota; Metazoa; Chordata; Actinopteri; Perciformes; Serranidae
Exons: 3
Source: RefSeq, a predicted model, not a curated record
CUUAAAUCCAUGGUGGAGAACAGUAAAGUGCUGCUCAAGAAAAUGUUCUGUCUCCAGCCUGCUGUUUCUUCUCAGUAAGACCGAUCCAACCACCACAUACUGAAACCUCAUGUUACACCUACGACGUGAUUGACAGUGUGCACGGCCCUCCACUUCUCUGUAGCAGUGCAGCGUGGGAAACAGCAGAGGAUCUUCAAUAACAGGUAUGCAAAGGAGAUGGCCUUCUGUAAUAGUAGCCAGUGCAUCAGCUCGAACAGACCAAAUGAAUCCAG